AUCCUAAAUUUUAAAUAUAGUCAUAUUAUAUGUCGUUGGACUCGGUUUUGAAUGUAGAAUGCGAUGAUGAUAAUUAUUUAAUCAUUUGAUGGUAUAGGUGAGAGUAAUAUGUAAGUUUGGACUAAACAAUGGGAGCUCGGGACUUGAGAGCUUAAGAUCGUCUUUUGGAAAAAGUUUAACAACUCGGGAGAGGAACUCAGUUUGAUGCUAGUGGAUGAGGAUGGUACUGUUGGGAAAGGAAUGUCGUUAUUAGUUUAGUCAUAUUUUACUCUUUCACCUUCUAAUGAGACUGAUUUUGUAUUUAAGAACCAAUGGAUGGUCUGGAUGACUUAAAUUAGCUAUGUACUAGUUAGAAAUGAGAAAUGAUGGAUGCUAGGUAUUAUUUUGGUAUUUUAUUGACUUAUUAAAUCUAUCUAUUUGGUGAUUACAUAA
This is a long non-coding RNA of Cannabis sativa, 432 nucleotides long. RefSeq lists it as uncharacterized. The record is from RefSeq and is a predicted model, not a curated record. The transcript has 2 exons. Lineage: Eukaryota; Viridiplantae; Streptophyta; Magnoliopsida; Rosales; Cannabaceae.